CUGAGCCUCGGAGGCUCUGGUUCUGUCCACGAAGCUGCCUCCCCUCACGCCCUCGCUGCCAGCCAACCUGGGCCGGGAGAAGGCCAGGCAGUCUGUUAGAUAUUUCCCCCACUUGGUUUCCCACCCGUGCCUCGAUUCCAACCAGACGACCCUUUCUAGCAUACAGGGCCCGCACUGUUGGGCAUGAGAUUCCCAGGGCAGUUCAAGGGUUCCGCAGAUGGGGACAGAUUUCCGCAAAGCAGCAGCGCCUCCUGGGAGCGCACUCAUUCGUCCUCAAAGGAUUGCACGCCCCAGAGUAGAGCGCUGGGGCAAAGGGGCUGUUCGUGUUCGACCUAGCCCUGCCGGCCACAGAUCUCCAACCUUCCCACACCACCGAUGGGGUUCCUAGAACCGGCUGCAAGGAACUGCCAGGAAGUCCCCAGGGACACCCUAGCCCAAGCACCCAGCGCUCCUAAACAGGGUCCCAGAUGUGCGGAUUGAGCGCGAGCUCCAACAUCUGCGCAAAGACUCGGGGCGGGGUAGCCACUGGCCAAAAAGCCUUGGGCUCCGGGUCGUUCUGGAGAAAGGCUUUCGGGAACUCCAACACAGGUACACCGUGCAGAGCGAGGAGUCCCAAUUCCCCAGCCUGAGAAGUGACCGUCGGGGUCCGGAGCUUUGUGUCCCCUCCCUGGCCCGAGCGGGCCGGCGCGCUGGUGGGGCCUGCGGAAAACCCUGCCUGAGGCCGGCAAGGGACGUCGACAUGAAGAGAAAGGUGGGCGCGAGCUCGGUCAUUCAAACUCUCCCCCACCCUGCCGCAGCCACGACCCGGCGGGGGAGCAGGAGAGAAAGAAAGGAGAGAAGAGAGAGGGAAGAAAGUUGCGCCGGGCUCUCUCGCGGGGCGGUGCGCAGAGCUGCUCGAUAAGGAGAGGAGCCUUCAACUCUGAGUCCCGUGAACAUAAUCUGCGCGGUUAUAACCAGCCAACCCGGCCAGAU
RNA transcript from Chinchilla lanigera (long-tailed chinchilla), 972 nucleotides. It is a transcript of the gene named splicing factor, arginine/serine-rich 19-like, with no coding region annotated. The transcript is spliced from 3 exons. Lineage: Eukaryota; Metazoa; Chordata; Mammalia; Rodentia; Chinchillidae. The record is from RefSeq and is a predicted model, not a curated record.